This 438-nucleotide ribosomal RNA is filed under the name uncultured bacterium. Its description in RNAcentral is "partial 16S ribosomal RNA". It matches the Rfam family "Bacterial small subunit ribosomal RNA", at positions 339 to 795 of the family's 1533-position model. The record is from RNAcentral.
CUACGGGAUGCACCAGUGCUGAAUCAUUCACAAUGGGCGAAAGCCUGAUGAUGCGACGCCGCGUGGAGGAUGAAGGCCUUCGGGUUGUAAACUCCUGUCAGGGUUUAGGAAUUUUGACCAGACCCAGAGGAAGCUCCGGCUAAAUUCGUGCCAGCAGCCGCGGUAAUACGAAUGGAGCGAGCGUUGUUCGGAAUCACUGGGCAUAAAGGGUGCGUAGGCGGUUUGGUCAGUCAGAUGUGAAAGCCCUCGGCUCAACCGGGGAAUUGCACCUGAUACUGCCAGACUUGAGGCUGUGAGGGGUGAACGGAAUUCCAGGUGUAGCGGUGAAAUGCGUAGAUAUCUGGGAGAACGCCAGAGGCGAAGGCGGUUCACUGGCGCAGUCCUGACGCUGAGGCACGAAAGCGUGGGGAGCAAACAGGAUUAGAUACCCUAGUAGUC